ACACUCGAAGGAAGUUGCACGCCAAAUGCAAAACCUCCAGCGAGCUGGAUUUCUUUGCACUUUUUUUUUAUUAUUAUGAUUAAGGAAAGCAGGGGGCGGCAGGCUUAAAAGCAAGUUGCAGGCGAAAUAGUAAGUUGCUGGCGAAAUAUAGCCCCCCUUCCGAAACUCCUGACCUCUUCUUCCACCCCGGCCAGGGCCCGCGUCCAAGUUCCCGGUGCAGGCCCCACCCCCGAAUCUUGACAUUUGCUGCCCUCGACUCUGUGCGUUGCUCACCCUAUCACGUUCAUAGGACCCCUGCCCCUACAAAUAAAACAAAAUACAGGCAGCUUUAAAAUGCCAGCGUUCAACUCCCUACAGAUGUUCCUGUUAGGAGCUUCCCCCUCAGUCCAAGGGGAAGGGAACUCGUGGUCCGUCCUGAGAAAGGAGAGGGCCGUGGGGCGAGGGGUGCCCGUGCGGGAAGCCCCCGCCCCAGCUCCCUUCCCCAGCUCGCCGCGUCGGGAAGGCUUGGACGAUGCCGGGACCGAGCCUCCUACCUUGUGCGGCACAGAUUAUGAUUUUUGUGACUCUGGGAAAGGUUGUGCUGUGUGGGUUUAGGGUUUGGGGAGGUAACUUUUGCGCCCCCACAGGUGACAUCGCUUGCCAGCUCCUGACACGGGCGGGGGCUGCCGCAGCUCCACCUAAUCCUGCUCGGGCGCUCGGCCACAGCCACUCUCUCACCUCCCGCCGCGCUCAGACUGACGGCGGCUCCCCCUGCUCUGACAUCUUGAAGACGAUUGGGGAAGCGCGUCCCGGAAGCCGCCCGCCGCCAUCUUGGUAGGGUACAGUGUCGCCAGCCCGUCCCCGCGGCCACCAUCUUGGCAAAGGUUCGCGAUCGCGGGUAGCCUAAGCCGUCCUUCCUUGGUUCUCAAGGGUAAACGGUUCCCUGUGCAUUGUCUGAUGUGAAAGGAAAGAAGUAGGCUUUCAGCAAGCCUCUUGUCCGGAGACGAUCUACGGGGGCCGCCUCCAGAGGAUUCUGGAGCCGCCAUCUUGGCAAAGGAAGAGAUACUCGCCACCUCGGAAAAGAAGAGGGAACCAACCGUAUGCCAACGUAGAACCCUCAGCCAGAAGAAUUUUUAUGAAGGGCGCUGAGCAACUCCAUGUUAACAAAACCCCCUUCUGGACCCAGAAGGCAGACUCCGCUUCUCCUGUCCCUUGGCACAAGUCAACUAGAAGGAGGCCCUUGCUUUGGAUGCUCAUCUGUGAGGCUAUGAGAACACUGCUUGACCUAGUUGCCCGUUUUUCCAAUUUCUGAGCCUCAAGCACUAGAAUGAGAUGUCUUUCGUUAAUUUGGCCCCUAAACUACCAACAGUUUCAUGGGAAACAAAUCAAGA
This 1370-nucleotide long non-coding RNA is filed under the name Homo sapiens (human). RNAcentral's name for it is "non-protein coding lnc-ARHGAP26-9:1". Lineage: Eukaryota; Metazoa; Chordata; Mammalia; Primates; Hominidae. The record is from RNAcentral.